This 779-nucleotide long non-coding RNA is filed under the name Homo sapiens (human). RNAcentral's name for it is "HSALNT0082722". Lineage: Eukaryota; Metazoa; Chordata; Mammalia; Primates; Hominidae. The record is from RNAcentral.
UCUGACAGUACAAGCGUGUUCGUAAAUAUUUGGGUGAUGUCAUGCAUUCUCCAUGUAUUGGUUCUGGCAGCACAAGCGUGUUCGUAAAUAUCUGGGUGACGUCAUGCAUUCCCCAUGCAUUGGUUUUCAUGAGUGGUUUCAGUGAGUUUUUGGGCAAGUCUGAUAUUAGUGAUCCACAGGCAGCAGGCAGCUUCCUGUACAGAGCUACCUCCACCCCUUGGACAGUCCAGGACUGAAUGGUUGUCAAAAAUGUGAACUCCUUGAUGACCAGUAAAGGCAACUGAGAGAACUGUGUAGCAUUGGUGUAAAAAGUGCACUUUCCUAAGGAGCAUGAACUUAGAGUAAUCAAAGGCUGUGGCAACAGUGGAACCCAGCAGGGCAUCCACUCGCUGCUUUGUAACUUAAAUAGGAAUUCUUUGAGGAGCUCAGUCUCUCAACUAAAGCAGCUGCCUGCAGCCUAUAGGGGCAGUGGAAGCUCUACUGGACACCUUCUUCACAAGCCCAGCACUGUGUUUUCUGAUGAAAUGUUGCCUUGGUCACCAUCAGUAGUGUCUGGAACUCUGCAGGGGAUAAGGAGUGUCCCUGUGAGAUCCGUACUGUGUACUUAGUUAAAAUAAAAGCAUCUGUUGCCUUGAUUGGUAUUCUGAGUAUCCAUGAGACAAGAAGUUUCUUUAGUUCAAUGGGGAGGGGAGGUGGACAAUUCUUGGAAAUUGCCAAAAGGUUUGUAAAAAUGUACAAAUGGGGCUAAUUGUUGGCCCAGCAUCAGUGCUGAGACGACC